Molecule: ribosomal RNA, 490 nt
Filed under: uncultured bacterium
Lineage: Bacteria
Description: partial 16S ribosomal RNA
Rfam family: Bacterial small subunit ribosomal RNA
Source: RNAcentral
GAUGAACGCUAGCGGCAGGCCUAAUACAUGCAAGUCGAACGGGAUCCAGAUCAAAGCUUGCUUUGGUCUGGUGAGAGUGGCGCACGGGUGCGUAACGCGUGAGCAACCUACCCUUGUCAGGGGGAUAGCCCGGCGAAAGUCGGAUUAAUACCGCAUGACAUCAUUGAGAGGCAUCUUUCGAUGAUCAAAGAUUUAUCGGACAAGGAUGGGCUCGCGUGACAUUAGCUAGUUGGUAAGGUAACGGCUUACCAAGGCUGCGAUGUCUAGGGGCUCUGAGAGGAGAAUCCCCCACACUGGUACUGAGACACGGACCAGACUCCUACGGGAGGCAGCAGUAAGGAAUAUUGGUCAAGGGACGGAAGUCUGAACCAGCCAUGCCGCGUGCAGGAGGACGGCCCUAUGGGUUGUAAACUGCUUUUAUACGGGAACAAACGUCGGUACGUGUACCGGUCUGAGUGUACCGUAAGAAUAAGGAUCGGCUAACUCCGUG